This 360-nucleotide ribosomal RNA is filed under the name uncultured Gammaproteobacteria bacterium. RNAcentral describes it as "bacterial SSU rRNA". It matches the Rfam family "Bacterial small subunit ribosomal RNA", at positions 346 to 697 of the family's 1533-position model. The record is from RNAcentral. Lineage: Bacteria; Pseudomonadati; Pseudomonadota; Gammaproteobacteria.
AGGCUGCAGUGGGGAAUAUUGGACAAUGGGGGAAACCCUGAUCCAGCAAUACCAUGUGUGUGAAGAAGGCCUUAGGGUUGUAAAGCACUUUAGUUGGGGAGGAAGUUCUAGCAAGUUAAUAGCUGGUUAAAUUGACGUUACCCAAAGAAUAAGCACCGGCUAACUCCGUGCCAGCAGCCGCGGUAAUACGGGGGGUGCGAGCGUUAAUCGGAAUUACUGGGCGUAAAGGGUCUGUAGGUGGUUUGUUAAGUCAGAUGUGAAAGCCCAGGGCUCAACCUUGGAACUGCAUUUGAUACUGGCAGACUAGAGUAUGGUAGAGGAAUGGGGAAUUUCUGGUGUAGCGGUGAAAUGCGUAGAUAU